RNAcentral lists this ribosomal RNA (496 nucleotides) under uncultured bacterium. RNAcentral describes it as "partial 16S ribosomal RNA". It matches the Rfam family "Bacterial small subunit ribosomal RNA", at positions 29 to 507 of the family's 1533-position model. The record is from RNAcentral.
AUGCACGCUGGCGGCGUGCCUAAUACAUGCCAGUCGAGCGAACAGACGAGGAGCUUGCUCCUCUGACGUUAGCGGCGGACGGGUGAGUAACACGUGGAUAACCUACCUAUAAGACUGGGAUAACUUCGGGAAACCGGAGCUAAUACCGGAUAAUAUAUUGAACCGCAUGGUUCAAUAGUGAAAGACGGUUUUGCUGUCACUUAUAGAUGGAUCCGCGCCGCAUUAGCUAGUUAGUAAGGUAACGGCUUACCAAGGCAACGAUGCGUAGCCGACCUGAGAGGGUGAUCGGCCACACUGGAACUGAGACACGGUCCAGACUCCUACGGGAGGCAGCAGUAGGGAAUCUUCCGCAAUGGGCGAAAGCUUGACGGAGCAACGCCGCGUGAGUGAUGAAGGUCUUCGGAUCGUAAAACUCUGUUAUUAGGGAAGAACAAAUGUGUAAGUAACUAUGCACGUCUUGACGGUACCUAAUCAGAAAGCCACGGCUAACUACGUG